AUUGAACGCUGGCGGCAUGCCUUACACAUGCAAGUCGAACGGCAGCACGGGAGCAAUCCUGGUGGCGAGUGGCGAACGGGUGAGUAAUAUAUCGGAACGUGCCCAGUCGUGGGGGAUAACGUAGCGAAAGCUACGCUAAUACCGCAUACGAUCUACGGAUGAAAGCGGGGGACUCGUAAGGGCCUCGCGCGAUUGGAGCGGCCGAUAUCAGAUUAGGUUGUUGGUGAGGUAAAAGCUCACCAAGCCUGCGAUCUGUAGCUGGUCUGAGAGGACGACCAGCCACACUGGAACUGAGACACGGUCCAGACUCCUACGGGAGGCAGCAGUGGGGAAUUUUGGACAAUGGACGCAAGUCUGAUCCAGCAAUGCCGCGUGCAGGACGAAGGCCUUCGGGUUGUAAACUGCUUUUGUACGGAACGAAACGGUCUGCUUUAAUACAGUGGGCUAAUGACGGUACCGUAAGAAUAAGCACCGGCUAACUACGUGCCAGCCGCCGCGGUAACAC
RNAcentral lists this ribosomal RNA (505 nucleotides) under uncultured bacterium. RNAcentral describes it as "bacterial SSU rRNA". It matches the Rfam family "Bacterial small subunit ribosomal RNA", at positions 30 to 526 of the family's 1533-position model. The record is from RNAcentral.